CUUAAUGUAGAAGCCUAGAAGGAAGGUGAAGGCUUCUCCAGGCAGUGUAUUGACUUAAUAUAGGUGACUGUUAUCUUUAUUUGCAUCUAUGCAGGGAAGUGAUGGUGCUAAGGCAUAACAUCUUGCCUCCUAGCCUCAUGUUGUCUAAACUGCUGGAGCCUAAGUAUGUUGAGACUUGGUGAAAAUGUCAUAGCCUGGAGAUGAAGCUAGGCUAGCUGCCCCUCAGCUGCUGGAGAGAAGAAACAUCUUGGGACAAAAUGAUGAUGGCCGUAGUGAAUGAUGAUGUCCCUGGUUUGGGCAAUCCCAAGCUCAUGAGUGGAAGGAAUACAGUGCUAGAUGAUAUUAUCAAGCACUGAAUAAUAAUCGGAUUCAUAAAAUCUGUGGCUUUCCACCUUGAUGCAGAAGACCUUCAGUGAGGAACUGAAUGGUUUCCCAUGAAUGGGAAACCCAGACAGUGUGGUGCUCCAGAUUACUUUAAUAUGUUUUUCCUGGAACGAGGAUGCACCAGCAGUUCAUGCUCUGCAGGUAUGGCUGCAACACCCGAUGGGGUGAUAACUGCAAUCAGCUCUUUUCCAGCCUGGCUUAACUUGCAGUUCUCAUAAAACUGGAGAUGGGCCAUUUGGUUUAUUGGCGAUUCAAAUACUAGCAGAAUAGGGCUAUGUUUGCCAGUCCACAAACUUCAGGCAUUAGGCUGUUCCCGGCAAUACCAGUCUGCUGUAUUAU
RNAcentral lists this long non-coding RNA (723 nucleotides) under Anas platyrhynchos platyrhynchos (common mallard). RNAcentral describes it as "lncRNA (ENSAPLG00000018944.1)". The record is from RNAcentral. Lineage: Eukaryota; Metazoa; Chordata; Aves; Anseriformes; Anatidae.